Molecule: ribosomal RNA, 1838 nt
Filed under: Marituja sp.
Lineage: Eukaryota; Ciliophora; Oligohymenophorea; Peniculida; Stokesiidae
Description: partial large subunit ribosomal RNA
Rfam family: Eukaryotic large subunit ribosomal RNA
Source: RNAcentral
UAUCAGUAAGCGGAGGAAAAGAAACUAACAAGGAUUCCCUCAGUAACGGCGAGUGAACCGGGAACAGCUCAAAAUGAAAAUCUGUGGCAUACAGUUACAGAAUUGUAAUCUAAAUGCUUUUUAGGGAAGGCAUGGCUAUCGCAUAAGUUCCUUGAAAAGGGAUGUCAUAGAGGGUAAAAACCCCGUGUUAGGUGAUAGCUAGCCGUACCGAAGGGCUACAAGAGUCGGGUUGUUUGGGACUGCAGCCCUAAAUGGGAGAUAAACUUCUUCUAAAGCUAAAUAUGUAUGGGAAACCGAUAGCAAACAAGUACUACGAAGGAAAGAUGAAAAGAACUUUGAAAAGAGGGUUAAAAGACUUGAAAUCGUUGAGAAGAAAAGCGGUAGAAGAGAAAUGAUUUCCUCAUCAAGUCUCAGUCUAAAGCAUUACCUUUGGCGCAUCAGGUACUUCAUAGGGCCGGUGUGUCAACUGGAAAGUGCUUGGAUUGUUUUUGUUGGGUGAAGUGCACGAUGAGGUCGAAGUUUCAGGAAACGUGGUGGAAACGCCUAUGCCCUUGAUGGUGUAAGCUCCAUUAACUCACUGAAACCUGGCCUGAGGGUCCUGAUGGAGAUCGUGCAAAAAAGGCUUCUACUGACCCGUCUUGAAACACGGACCAAGGAGUCUACCCCAUAUGCGAGUCUUAGGGUGGAAAAACCUGAAGGCGUAGCGAAAGCAAGUACAAGGUGUGAACCGCAAGGCGCAACACCGGCCAACCUUGAUUCUCGAAUGAAGGGAUUGAGCAAGAGCAUAUUUGGUAGGACCCGAAAGAUGGUGAACUACGCUUGAGUAGGGUGAAGCCAGGGGAAACUCUGGUGGAGGCUCGAAGCGUUACUGACGUGCAAAUCGUUCGUCAAACUUGAGUGUAGGGGCGAAAGACUAAUCGAACCAUCUAGUAGCUGGUUCCCUCUGAAGUUUCUCUCAGGAUAGCUGGAACAAAACCGCAGUUUUAUCAGGUAAAGCGAAUGAUUAGAGGAAUCGGAGAUCAAAGAUCUUUGACCUAUUCUCAAACUUUAAAUUGGUAAGAGCCUGUAGUUACUUAAGUGAACUAUGGGGUAGAAUGCGUUGUUCUUAGUGGGCCGUUUUUGGUAAGCAGAACUGGCGAUGAGGGAUGAACCUAACGCUUAGAUAAGGUGCCAAAGUUCCCGCUCAUCAGAUACCAUAAAAGGUGUUGGUUCAUAUAGACAGCAGGACGGUGGCCCUGGAAGUCGGAAUCCGCUAAGGAGUGUGUAACAACUCACCUGCCGAAUGAACUAGCCCUGAAAAUUGAUGGCGCUGAAGCGGGACACCGAUACUAAGCCAUCGGAGCAAAUAUGAGGCUUCGAUGAGUAAGAGGGCGUGUGCACUGUGCAGAAGCCUUUACCGUGAGGUUGGGUCGAACAGUGUAUAGUGCAGAUCUUGGUGGUAGUAGCAAAUAUUCAAAUGAGAACUUUGAAGACCGAAGUGGAGAAGGGUUCCAUGAGAACCGCAAUUGGUCAUGGGUUACUCGAUCCUAAGACAUAGGGCAACUCCUUGUAAUACAAGGGCUAAUUUUAGUCCGUUGUCAAAAGGGAAUGAGGUUAAUAUUCCUCAAGCUGGUCGCGGAUUUUGUGGCAACACAAACGAGCCCGGAGACGUCGGCAUGAACUCCUGGAAGAGUUAUCUUUUCUUUUUAACAGACUGUGGCCCUGAAAUUGGAUUAUCCAGAGCUAGGGCUGUAUGUCUGGCAGAGCAGCUCACACUAAGAGCUGUCAGGUGCGCUCAUGACGACCCUUGAAAAUCCGGGGGAGAGUUAAUAUCGCGCCAGAUCGUACCCAUAACCGCA